Molecule: small RNA, 62 nt
Filed under: Xanthomonas arboricola
Lineage: Bacteria; Pseudomonadati; Pseudomonadota; Gammaproteobacteria; Lysobacterales; Lysobacteraceae
Also listed under: 2 other names
Description: sRNA sX9
Rfam family: Xanthomonas sRNA sX9
Source: RNAcentral
AUGUACCACUCUGCGGCGCCGUCUACGCCCGUCUGACGUCUGCUCGCUACGUGCUGUUAGCC